RNAcentral lists this ribosomal RNA (328 nucleotides) under uncultured bacterium. RNAcentral describes it as "bacterial SSU rRNA". It matches the Rfam family "Bacterial small subunit ribosomal RNA", at positions 29 to 383 of the family's 1533-position model. The record is from RNAcentral.
AGCGAACGCUGGCGGCAGGCUUAACACAUGCAAGUCGAGCGGGCGUAGCAAUACGUCAGCGGCAGACGGGUGAGUAACGCGUGGGAACAUACCUUUUGGUUCGGAACAACACAGGGAAACUUGUGCUAAUACCGGAUAAGCCCUUACGGGGAAAGAUUUAUCGCCGAAAGAUUGGCCCGCGUCUGAUUAGCUAGUUGGUGAGGUAACGGCUCACCAAGGCGACGAUCAGUAGCUGGCUGAGAGGAUGAUCAGCCACAUUGGGACUGAGACACGGCCCAAACUCCUACGGGAGGCAGCAGUGGGGAAUAUUGGACAAUGGGCGAAAGCC